CCCUUGCUGUUGAUGCUUUUGGAUAAAGAUGGCCCAGGAAAGAUGAGGUUCUAGGGAAAGUUAGGUGUUUUUAAGAGAAACCAAACAGGGCUCAGAAUUCCACUCUCUUCACAUGCAUCAUGAUCUCACUUCAGGUGUCUUUUUACAGGCCUGCUCAGCCACAGGAGGGACCCAGGUGCUGGUGUCAUCAUUAACCCCUCAGUGAUGGGGAGCCAAGCUUCACCUCCAGCCCAGGCUCUGCACAAAGAGAGAUGGAUGGCUCCAGGGACUCAGCAGCAGCAGCAAAUCAGACUCAGUGCCACUAACAGGGCCUAGAACAAAUGGCUGGCUGUCCAUGAACUGCUUGGAGGAAAAGGCAGCAGCAGGAUCAGGUUAUUGUGUGGGUUGGAUCCUGCCCUCGGGACCACAGCUGGACCAGACACAGCCAGAGAACACAGCCAGCAUUGUCCAUCCUUCAGUCCACAACCACCAUGCAGAGCACACCUUGUCUGAAAUAACAGGUCUUCAUAGGAUCCUUCUGGUUGAGAGAUGAUAUCACAGAUUAUAUCUGUGUCUGCUUUAGGUCUGGACUGUUGCUAAGAGAAAAACAAUUCCUGGCAAAUUCCUCGAAGUGCUUGCCUCAUACAGUUUGGAUGGAGACAGUUUUUCCAAGAAAGAUGGGGGCAACAACAGCAGUUCAAAGGACACCAGUGGGACAAAAGAGCUUCCUGCAGCCGCCAGGAAUGUGCAUGGAUGCUUCACCUGGGCUUUUGCACACACUCCAGCUGGUUUGUGUGGAAGGGCUCGUUUCCUGGCUCCUUGUGCUGUACUGUUCUGAUGGUUCUGUGCUUCCCAGCACCAGUCCUGAGCUCUAA
Cyanistes caeruleus (blue tit) is the source of this 854-nucleotide long non-coding RNA. The record is from Ensembl. NCBI's taxonomy places the organism in Eukaryota, Metazoa, Chordata, Aves, Passeriformes, Paridae.